Long non-coding RNA from Canis lupus familiaris (dog), 2637 nucleotides. RefSeq lists it as uncharacterized. The transcript has 3 exons. Lineage: Eukaryota; Metazoa; Chordata; Mammalia; Carnivora; Canidae. The record is from RefSeq and is a predicted model, not a curated record.
GGGAGCCCUACAGACACCAGGCUCGAUCCCAGGACCCUGGGAUCACGACCUGAGCCGAAGGCAGAUGCUUAACGGACUGAGCCCCCCAGGCGCCCCUGGUUGCGUCCUUCUGUCGACCUCCCCCGGCACAGGUUUCUGACACCUUGAAAGACAUGGUCUUAAUGAUUCAUCCUCACAAACGUGUGUGAGACAAACAGCGACAGAGCGUCUUAACCUACACUUCUGUGCCUUGACAUCACUGGUGGGAUUGCUAUCAAGGGUGCGAGAGGCUGAAAUCAGAAACACACCCGCCCGCCCCGGCCUCAGACAGCAGCUCUUAGAUGGCCAGUUCAAGGGAAGGUCUUGAAAUUGUAUAUGGGAUACAGAGAACUUGCCCUCAGUCUUGGGUUUAAAAUGCAGUGAGUGAAUCAGAAAAAUCCUAAUAUAGUCCUUGACUGUUAUGUUUGAACAAAUGAUGUAAAUUAUGGUUCUUCCUUAACAAGAUUAUGAAGAUGAACUGAAUCACUUGACAGCUUAAGAUGCCCGAGUUCAAAGGCACGUAUCAUACGCUUGCAAAGAUAAAAGCUGCAGAGAACUACAAUAAAUUCUCAAGGAGAGACGGCAAGGAUGAGUGAAAAAGAAUUGUUUGAAUACCACCAUUUAAAAAAAUAAGACUUAGCUUGGAUUUUUGAGAGAAAAAAAAAAAAAGCAGCAGUUUCUGGCAUAUCAGAGCUGUGCUUGAAGCAAAAGGUGGGUGGAAGACUGCCAAUGCAAGAACGGAAGGAGGGCAAAGACGCAUCCGGUAAGAAGGCCAGACCGGAAGUUAGGAAAAUCGAUGUCAGGCACAUCGGCUUCCGUCUGUCCUCCGAUGCUAGUCAAGCUCAUCCAUUCUCAGGGGUUCAGAACCAUCACAGGCCAGUGACUCGCACAACUGUGCCCGCCUCGACCUGUGCGGCUCAUGGACUUCUUGGCGUCUGCUCAAACUGUCUCAUGGAGACCGCAAACUCAGCCCAGCGAAGCAGCACGCUCGAUCCCGUCCACUAAACCUCCCUCCCUGAAGUCUUUCCCACUUAUUCACUCAACACACACACACACACACACACUCUUUCCCUCACACACACACACACACACACACACACACACACACACACACACAGUUUAUCUUUUCCAGACAGAGACUGGGAACCAACCAUGUGACGCUCAUAGACAUUCAUACCACCCACAUUUUCUUGGGAAAGAGAGAUAUAAAGAGUGAACAAAUUAACAAGAUAAGUUCAGGUAGUGAUAAAACAAGAGUGUACGGAGGCCCAGGACCAAACCACAAGACUGUGUGUUGCUUCUCUUUUCUGAAAUUUCUGAUGAUUCUGUUGGAAUGGGCUCCCCUAAGUGUCACUGGUAGGACGAAGGGUGUGUGAGUUCGGCUGCCGAGGAAGGCUUGUCUGAUGAAGCUGUGUUUGGGCUGCUGAUGGAGGAGCUGCUCCUUCAAAUAGGGAAGACAUGAGCUUGCAAAGGAAGGGCACUGACAAGCACAGGCCAGCGUGUGGGAGAGAGCGGGGCAUGGACCCAGAGCGGAGGGAGGGCGGUUGGAGAUGAGGUCAGAGGGAAAGGUGAGGUCUUGUUGGCCUAAGAUCGAUGUGUAUCAGUCAGCAAAGUCUAGAUUAGGCUGCUGUGAUAAACAGCCCCCAAAUCUCAGUAGUUUACAAUAAAGUUUAAUUUCUCGUUCACGUCUUCUGUUCACUGAGGACUACUAGGCAUUCCACACUUCUGUCCUUGAGGUAGAAUCCAUGGUGACUGGAUUCUGGCCUUGGAAGGAAGCAAAAUAAUGCAUUGUCACUGAAAUCUUCAACCCCAUAGUGACACGGAUCACCUCCCCCACAUUUCAUUGACAAGUCCUGCGCCUAGCCAGUGUCAGGGGAGGUGAUGUGCUUGGCGCAGGCAGGAGCAGACUGCUUGUGAAGAGCCCUAGGAACAGCCGCAUGCAGCUAAAGAUUCAUUCUCAAGCAAUAGGAAACUAUUGGAGUAUCUUAGGCAGUGAUAGGCAUGAUUUGGUUCAGGUUUUUACAAGAUACUCAGCAUGCGGAGUGGUGGCUACGGGGAAAAUAUGAGGGCGGUGGAGGCCAGGAGGCAGGGAGGCUGCUGGAAGGUAGAGAUGAGUGGAGGCUUAGCCUGGGGUGGGGGUGGCCAGGAUGGGCAGCACAUGGUAUGAAAAUGGAACUGGAGAUCAGGAACCUGGAACCCACCCUGACCCCCAGCUCUCACCUCCUUCUCUCGCUGAUCCACUGACAAAACAGAGUCCGGGUCCAUCUGAUUUAGCCCCAACCAAGGUAGCUUCAGCCUCUCACCUGCUCUCUCCCCAAGACCCCCAUGUGGCCCCCUAAGCCAUUCCCCAUGGUGUGCCUGAGGUGUCUUAGGAUGGACGUGGGGUCCCCUGACCCCCUCUUGCUCACAGCUGCUCCUCGUGCCUCCUGGGACACUCUCCUCUGUGGCCCCUGCUCCUGGGCCCUCCACCUGCAGGUGUUUCCCCUCAGCUAUUCACUCAGUUCUCAGCUCUCCCUCACUUGCACAGCUCCUCACCCCUCCCUGCUGAGACGUUCAUGCACACACUCCCAUGCACACCCAUGCACACAGUCACACACAUGCACUACCUUCGUACACAUG